This 614-nucleotide long non-coding RNA is filed under the name Macaca mulatta (Rhesus monkey). Its description in RNAcentral is "lncRNA (ENSMMUG00000057167.1)". Lineage: Eukaryota; Metazoa; Chordata; Mammalia; Primates; Cercopithecidae. The record is from RNAcentral.
GGCGCGGCCGGGCGGGGCUGGACGCCCGCGGUUUCGCUUGAGUUGGACUCCUGCGCGCUCCCACCGGAGUUCGGGGGCGGCGGGGGAAAGGCCUGCGCCCUGCCGCGCGGGAAGACGAUUCCCGGCGACCGCCCGAUCCCUCGCCAGCGUCGUGGGGUAGGGCCUGUGGGGGCCUGCCGCUUCGUCCACAGUCCGUCGUGAGGCCGGCAGCGGACACGUGCUCAUCCCACUGGGAGGCCCCGGGCAGCCCGGAGGACGCGCCUAGGAGAGAAAGGGGGUUUGGGAGAAGCCCGAGGACCCGUCCCGCGACUGGGCGCGCCCUAUGCAAAUGAAUGGGCGGGGCCCUCGUGCUGCUGAACGAGGGGCUUUCAGUGAUGUGCCCUCCACCCCGACUUUGAGGAUGAAACUGGGUAAUUACCACCCCGUGACAGUGAAAAUGAUGCUAAUCAGUGCACAGCUGAUGAGAAGAACCAGAUACAGAGUCUCUCCACCUAGCUAUAGGUGGCUUUUAAAUUAGUGACUGAGAAGACAACAGACACACCUACGUCAGACCUGUCCAGGUGACCAGUAGCUAUCCUUAGGCUUGGAUCAACGUGAAGAAAGCUAUAACCUCA